This is a long non-coding RNA of Vicia villosa (hairy vetch), 336 nucleotides long. RefSeq lists it as uncharacterized. The transcript is spliced from 3 exons. The record is from RefSeq and is a predicted model, not a curated record. NCBI's taxonomy places the organism in Eukaryota, Viridiplantae, Streptophyta, Magnoliopsida, Fabales, Fabaceae.
CUGUAUUUUAUGCUUCGCGACUAUACAUGCCAAGUGCUCGACAAAUAUCCUCAAUCAAUUUCUCAAAAGUCCAAAUCACCGUACAUGGAAAUUGGAAAUAAGUUAAAAAUUGGAAUAGAUUAAGUUUAUCUAUCAAUUUUUAAGACAAAGGUUGUCACCGAAGAUGUGAAGAUCGAUCUCUUCGAAGACGAGGAUGAGUUCGAAAUCAAUGAAGAGUGUACAAAGGAGUUCUUGGAUUAUCUGUCAAUCUCUAUACUUCAAUUUGUAGGAAUUGUGGUGGUUUGGAUUUUCAAUUUCAUAAGUUUUGUUGUAUAAAUUGCAGAGUGUACAAAGGAG